Molecule: non-coding RNA, 72 nt
Organism: Ictidomys tridecemlineatus (thirteen-lined ground squirrel)
Lineage: Eukaryota; Metazoa; Chordata; Mammalia; Rodentia; Sciuridae
Source: Rfam
AGGGUUGUGGCUCAGAGGUAGAGCACUUGCCUAGCAUGCAUGGAGCACUGAGUUCCAUCCUCAGCACCACAU